GAAGGACUUUGCGGUUUWAAUCGCAAGGAGGUUAAGGCAAUAACAGGUCUGUAAUGCCCUUAGAUGUCCGGGCUGCACGCGCGCUACACUGAUGCGUUCAUCGAGUUUAUCCUUGGCCGAGAGGCCUAGGUAAUCUUUAGUACGCAUCGUGAUGGGGAUCGAUUAUUGCAAUUAUUAAUCGUGAACGAGGAAUGCCUAGUAUGCGCAAGUCACCAGCUUGUGCAGAUUACGUCCCUGCCCUUGUACACACCGCCCGUCGCUCCUACCGAUCGAGUGAUCCGGUGAA
Molecule: ribosomal RNA, 286 nt
Filed under: Theileria sp. BCS-2013mm
Lineage: Eukaryota; Apicomplexa; Aconoidasida; Piroplasmida; Theileriidae
Description: partial 18S ribosomal RNA
Rfam family: Eukaryotic small subunit ribosomal RNA
Source: RNAcentral